CGGGGGGGCAAGCGUUGUUCGGAAUUACUGGGCGUAAAGGGCGCGUAGGCGGCCUGCUAAGUCGGAUGUGAAAUCCCUCGGCUCAACCGAGGAACUGCAUCCGAUACUGGCGGGCUUGAAUCCGGGAGAGGGAUGUGGAAUUCCAGGUGUAGCGGUGAAAUGCGUAGAUAUCUGGAGGAACACCGGUGGCGAAGGCGGCAUCCUGGACCGGUAUUGACGCUGAGGCGCGAAAGCUAGGGGAGCAAACGGGAUUAGAUACCCCGGUAGUCCUAGCCCUAAACGAUGAGUGCUUGGUGUGGCGGGUAUCGAUCCCUGCCGUGCCGAAGCUAACGCAUUAAGCACUCCGCCUGGGGAGUACGGUCGCAAGGCUG
RNAcentral lists this ribosomal RNA (371 nucleotides) under uncultured organism. RNAcentral describes it as "bacterial SSU rRNA". It matches the Rfam family "Bacterial small subunit ribosomal RNA", at positions 527 to 896 of the family's 1533-position model. The record is from RNAcentral.